GAGCUUGCUCCUGGUGGCGAGUGGCGAACGGGUGAGUAAUGCGUCGGAACGUACCGAGUAAUGGGGGAUAACGCAGCGAAAGCUNUGCUAAUACCGCAUACGNCCUGAGGGGGAAAGUGGGGGAUCGCAAGACCUCACGUUAUUCGAGCGGCCGACGUCUGAUUAGCUAGUUGGUGGGGUAAUGGCCUACCAAGGCGACGAUCAGUAGCGGGUCUGAGAGGAUGAUCCGCCACACUGGAACUGAGACACGGUCCAGACUCCUACGGGAGGCAGCAGUGGGGAAUUUUGGACAAUGGGGGCAACCCUGAUCCAGCCAUUCCGCGUGAGUGAAGAAGGCCUUCGGGUUGUAAAGCUCUUUCAGCUGGAACGAAACGGUACGCUCUAACAUAGCGUGCUAAUGACGGUACCGGCAGAAGAAGCACCGGCUAACUACGUGCCAGCAGCCGCGGUAAUACGUAGGGUGCGAGCGUUAAUCGGAAUUACUGGGCGUAAAGCGUGCGCAGGCGGAUUGUUAAGCAAGAUGUGAAAUCCCCGGGCUUAACCUGGGAAUGGCAUUUUGAACUGGCAGUCUAGAGUGCGUCAGGAGGGGGGUGGAAUUCCACGUGUAGCAGUGAAAUGCGUAGAGAUGUGGAGGGAACACCAAUGGCGAAGGCAGCCCCCUGGGAUGACACUGACGCUCAUGUACGAAAGCGUGGGUAGCAAACAGGAUUAGAUACCCUGGUAGUCCAVGCCCUAAACGAUGUCAACUGGUUGRGGGGGGAGUGAAAUCCCUUAGUAACGAASUAACSCGUGAAGUUGACCGCCUGGGGAGUACGGUCGCAGAUUAAACUCAAAGGAAUUGACGGGGACCGCACAAGCGGUGGAUGAUGUGGAUUAAUUCGAUGCAACGCGAAAAACCUUACCUACCCUUGACAUGUCCGGAAUCCUGCAGAGAUGCGGGAGUGCUCGAAAGAGAACCGGAACACAGGUGCUGCAUGGCUGUCGUCAGCUCGUGUCGUGAGAUGUUGGGUUAAGUCCCGCAACGAGCGCAACCCUUAUCAUUAGUUSUACGCAAGGGCACUCUAAUGAGACUGCCGGUGACAAACCGGAGGAAGGUGGGGAUGACGUNAAGUCCUCAUGGCCCUUAUGGGUAGGGCUUCACACGUCAUACAAUGGUCGGUACAGAGGGUUGCCAAGCCGCGAGGUGGAGCCAAUCCCAGAAAGCCGAUCGUAGUCCGGAUUGUUCUCUGCAACUCGAGAGCAUGAAGUCGGAAUCGCUAGUAAUCGCGGAUCAGCAUGUCGCGGUGAAUACGUUCCCGGGUC
Molecule: ribosomal RNA, 1302 nt
Filed under: Thiobacillus thioparus
Lineage: Bacteria; Pseudomonadati; Pseudomonadota; Betaproteobacteria; Nitrosomonadales; Thiobacillaceae
Description: bacterial SSU rRNA
Rfam family: Bacterial small subunit ribosomal RNA
Source: RNAcentral